UUACAUAUAUUGUGAUGAAUUUUAAAAGAAAAAUAUGAUUUUUGGAUAUUAGGUUCUGCAAGGGAUUUGUGAGAUUAAUUGGAUUUGUUGUGGAUCGCGUUCGAUGUAAGUAAUGAACUGCCUUCUCUAGACUCUUCAUUUAUAUAAUAUUAUUUUUACAUCGAAUAAAUUGUUAAUGAAUUUAUAUGUGAUUUAUGAAUUUUACAAGAUGAUGAUUUGAAUGAAAAAAUGGAUAUGUGAAUUGGAAUAACAUUUUUCGGAUAUAAUUAGUGUUCUUGCAUCGUAUAUGCAUAUUUAGAUCGGAUUAUGAUAUAUCUAUUUGCUACAAAAGAAUUUUGAUGUGCAUCAGAUUUAGAACUCUCAGCUUAGCUAUGUUCUGGACUCUGCCAAUAGGGGGUUAUGCAUUGGCAAUUCUGGCCCCACCACAGGGUAUAAGUGUGGUAUUCUGGCCCACACCGUAGGGUAUAAGUGCGGUAUUCUGGCCCACUCCGCAGGGUAUAAGUGCGGUUCUGUUUCUGGCCUAGCCACAGGGUAUAAGUGUAGUCGUAGCUAAAGGCUGAUGAGAUGAAUGUGAUUUGUUUCGAAUCAAAUUUAUGAUUAUGUAUAUGGAUAUUUGAAAAAUAUGAAUUUUAAUGAAUUUGUGCUUGAAAAGGAAUUGAUUAUGUUAUUAUGUUGAUUUAUCGUAAUUUGUAUUUAUAUUUUAUGUUAUUAUAUGAAUUGACUAGGUAAGGUGUUUAUUACUUACUGGGCUGUCUAGCUCAUUAUACAAUUUCUUGUUGUUUUACAGAUUCCGAGAACUAACCUAUCGGGGAUUUAAAAUGGGAGAGCGACUAGAAGAACUGAAGCACAAGUUAUCCUAGAAUAGGCUUUAUUUAAAUUGAUGUUUUAUAUUUAUUGUUCCGCUGCGUAUUUAGAACUGUGAGACUAUAUAAUUUGUGUCAGUCAAUGGAAUAAGAUUGCAUUUAUUUCAGCUGAAUUANNNNNNNNNNNNNNNNNNNNNNNNNNNNNNNNNNNNNNNNNNNNNNNNNNNNNNNNNNNNNNNNNNNNNNNNNNNNNNNNNNNNNNNNNNNNNNNNNNNNNNNNNNNNNNNNNNNCGUGACAACUUUUAUGGUAUCAGAUCCCAAAACUGGGCCCGGUCCAUUGACCGGCCCAGCCCAAAUUUUGGCCUCACGUGCGUCGCACGUGAGGGCGUGUAAGAGGGGGGGGAGCCAUCCCGAAGAAGCCGGCUCCCCCAGUCUUUUUAGGGCUUCUCCUCUCUUUGAAGGGGGCGGAAGAGGAGCCGCUGCCGCCCGAGAGGGAGAGAGAGGGAGCCGAGAAGCCACAGCGCGGACGAUCCUUUUCCUCCUCCGUUUGCCGCCGGAAAGAAGCCGCCGGAUCUUCGCCGGGGCUGAGGUAAGAUUUCUAGCUUCACCUCUUGGUUAUACCAUUUGAAAAGAAGAAGAAGAAGAAGAAGAAGAAGAGAGAGAAGGAAAAGGAGGGGGAGGCACCCGUGGCAAUCGGCUUGCCUUCGGCCACAGGCGCCGCCGGCCCUCAGUGACGGCCACUUUGAGGACCGGAGAGCACCACUUUCCCUUGUUCCUCUUCUCUGUUCAGUGAAAACAGAGAAGGAAUAGUGGAAGGAGAAAGAGAGAAAGAAAGAAAGAAAGAAAGGAGAAGAGAGGGAAGAAGGAGAAGGUGUGGGUUUCUCCCAUGCCCAUACCUCCUCCACGGGAAGAAGGAGAGAGCCGGCCGCUGUGGCCGCCGCCGGCCUUGACUUGGCCACUCCCGAGCUCGCCGACCUCCCUUCGCGGGAGAAGAAAGAAGAAGAAAGAAAGGGGGGAGGAGAAGAAGUCGGGAGAAGAGGAAGAGGAGAAAGAAAAAGAAAGAAGAAAAGAAAGGGGGAAGGAAGAAGGAAGUCGGGAGAAGAUUCCAGAGAAGAAGAGAAGAGAAGAAAAGAAAAAAAAGAAAAAAAAAAGAAAAGGGGAGGGAAGGAAAGAAAAGAAAAAGAAAAGAAAGAAAAAGAAAAGAAAUAAAGAAACAAAAAAUAAAUAAAUAAAUAAAUAAAGGGAGAGAGUGGUUUACGGGUAUGAACCCGAAUACAAACCCAAACUCGGGAUGUCGGACACUUCCGCGUGUUCGGCCCUGGGAGGAUGUUAAGAUUUGAGUUUUAUACGUAUAUUGUGAUGAAUUUUAAAAGAAAAAUAUGAUUUUUGGAUAUUAGGUUCUGCGAGGAAUUUGUGAAAUUAAUUGGAUUUGUUGUNNNNNNNNNNNNNNNNNNNNNNNNNNNNNNNNNNNNNNNNNNNNNNNNNNNNNNUAUUAUUUUUACAUCGAAUAAAUUGUUAAUGAAUUUAUAUGUGAUUUAUGAAUUUUACAAGAUGAUGAUUUGAAUGAAAAAUGGAUAUGUGAAUUGAAAUAACAUUUUUCGGAUAUAAUUACUGUUCUUGCAUCGUAUAUGCAUAUUUAGAUCGGAUUAUGAUAUAUCUAUUUGCUACAAAAGAAUUUUGAUGUGCAUCAGAUUUAGAACUCUCAGCCUGGCUAUGUUCUGGACCCUACCAAUAGGGGGUUAUGCAUUGGCAAUUCUGGCCCCACCACAGGGUAUAAGUGUGGUAUUCUGGCCCACACUGCAGGGUAUAAGUGCGGUAUUCUGGCCCACUCCGCAGAGUAUAAGUGCGGUUCUGUUUCUGGCCUAGCCACAGGGUAUAAGUGUGGUCGUAGCUAAAGGCUGAUGAGAUGAAUGUGAUUUGUUUCGAAUCAGAUUUAUGAUUAUGUAUAUGGAUAUUUGAAAAAUACGAAUUUUAAUGAAUUUGUGCUUGAAAAGGAAUUGAUUAUGUUAUUAUGUUGAUUUAUCGUAAUUUGUAUUUAUAUUUUAUGUUAUUAUAUGAAUUGACUAGGUAAGGUGUUUAUUACUUACUGGGCUGUCUAGCUCAUUAUACGAUUUCUUACUGUUUUUACAGAUCCGAAGAAUUAGCUCGAUCCGGGGUUUUACAAUAUGGGAGUGCGAAUAAAAGAAUUAUGGCUCAAGUUAUCUUAGAUUACGUUUUAUUUAAUUUAAUGUUCCAUCUUUAUUGUUCCGCUGCGUAUUUAGAAUUGUGAGACUUUAUAAUUUAUGUCAGUCAAUGGAAUAAGAUUGCAUUUAUUUCAGUUGAAUUAAUUUAGAAUUACAUAAUUGAGGUGUUUUGGUUUAGAUGCCUUGCAUGCUCGUGGGGAGAGUUUCCUACGGGUGUGCGGCGGUUGGCGCGGACCCCCGGCUCGCGAUCUCGGGCCGGGGGCGUGACAAAUACCCAUGUAAUUAAUAUAUAUUUUCAAGCAUGGCAACUAUCAAAGCAAGGGAAAAUAUGAAAGUGUAGUGUGCAUAAAAUAGUAUGACUUUUUCAGAGUACUAAUACCUCCACCACAACAUGGUACC
RNAcentral lists this long non-coding RNA (3385 nucleotides) under Phoenix dactylifera (date palm). Its description in RNAcentral is "long non-coding RNA (PDAC_LNC010313)". Lineage: Eukaryota; Viridiplantae; Streptophyta; Magnoliopsida; Arecales; Arecaceae. The record is from RNAcentral.